UUUACAAUUAAAGACUAAUCAAAUUGGAUCUGUAUUAUUUUUAAGACAUAAAAGUAAGCGAUUUCUUAAAACUCCAGUUUAAAGCUUGGCUCUGACUUAACAGUAUAAUAAAGACUAAAAAGUACACAUGGUUUUUAUCGAAAGAGGCGAGGUAAAAAGAGGUUAGGCAACUAUGUAAAAUAUAAGAUAACUUCUUUUUAUGAUAUUAUUUCUAUAUGAUGUCUCGAGAAGUCCCGCUAACACCAGUGUUUAAGGUUAAAAUAAAAGUGAAAACUUGUAUUAAUUUAGUCAUCAGAUCUGGUUAACUUGGUGCCAGCAUCCGCGGUUAUACCAAGAGAUCAAGUUAUACACAUUAAGGUAAAAAGGCGGUUAGAUAUUUACAGGCAAUUAACUUAUUAAUUUCUCAUCUAAAAGUAAAAUUUACACAUGGGUAAAUAAUUCAAUAUAAGUUAUAAUGUAUUGAAUCCGCGAUAGCCUUGAGGGAAACUGGGAUUAGAUACCCCAUUAUUCUUGGCCGUAAAUAGAUGAAAUCUACCAGAGUACUAUGAAUCAUUCCAAAAAUUUAAAACUCAAAGGGCUUGGCGGUGCUUUAGACCUUUCAGGGGAACCUGUCUCAUAAUCGACAAUCCACGUUAGACCUAACCUUUUUUUGCAAAACAGUUUGUAUACCGUCGUCGUCAGGUAACUUUUAAAAAACUAGAAGUUGGCAAUAGAAUCAUAGUAGAUUUAAACGUCAGAUCAAGGUGCAGCCCAUACAAAGGUGAGGAUGGGUUACAAUUAACACUCAUAAUUACGGAUAAAAUAAUGAAAUCCUUAUUUUAAUGAAGGCGGACUUGAAAGUAAAAAUAUUUACAUAAAUAAUUUGAAUAAGGCUCUGAAACAUGCACACAUCGCCCGUCGCUCUCGUUGAAAAAUGAGAUAAGUCGUAACAUAGUAGGGGUAAUGGAAAUUGUUCCUGGAUGAAAAUAU
RNAcentral lists this non-coding RNA (969 nucleotides) under Charonia tritonis (giant triton snail). Its description in RNAcentral is "12S ribosomal RNA". The stretch from base 199 to 966 matches the Rfam family "Microsporidia small subunit ribosomal RNA". The record is from RNAcentral. Lineage: Eukaryota; Metazoa; Mollusca; Gastropoda; Littorinimorpha; Ranellidae.